Amphibalanus amphitrite is the source of this 426-nucleotide long non-coding RNA. RefSeq lists it as uncharacterized. The record is from RefSeq and is a predicted model, not a curated record. Lineage: Eukaryota; Metazoa; Arthropoda; Thecostraca; Balanomorpha; Balanidae. The transcript is spliced from 2 exons.
UUCUGAAGCUCUGCUCACCAGUGGAUGCAAGAAGAUGCAAACAAGAAGUUGUAUUUUCUGGAUUCGACUUCCAGGCAUAACUGUCAAGUGUCGAGCAGCCCAGUAUUGCCCCAUGGGUAUAUACUGCCUUGGCCCCAUGCAGUUUUCCUAAGGAUCAUCAGGAAAGUAAGGAGUGGCGAGGAAGAGGCUGUUCUACCCUGGUCAGACACGCAGCAAAGCUGACACAGCCAGCAGAGCUCUGCAACAGCAAUGGGUCUGCUACCACUUGGUUGAAAGCAUCCUGGCUUCUGGAACGAUAAGACUGGGCUGCAGCAGCAGCUGCAGCUCUGUUGGCGCUGUUGGUUGACGAGUGACAGUCUAAGUCGGCCUCGGUUGUCGGCUAAAGGCCGCCGCGGCGCCUAGUGUGGUGAUGGCUGCAAUGUCUGA